RNAcentral lists this transfer RNA (69 nucleotides) under Peromyscus attwateri (Texas deermouse). RNAcentral's name for it is "tRNA-Tyr". It matches the Rfam family "tRNA". Rfam says of the family: Transfer RNA (tRNA) molecules are approximately 80 nucleotides in length. Their secondary structure includes four short double-helical elements and three loops (D, anti-codon, and T loops). The record is from RNAcentral. Lineage: Eukaryota; Metazoa; Chordata; Mammalia; Rodentia; Cricetidae.
GGUAAAAUGGCUGAGUUAAGGCAUUAGACUGUAAAUCUAAAGACAGAGGGUGAAACCUUCUUUUUACCA